AGAGUUUGAUCCUGGCUCAGAUUGAACGCUGGCGGUAUGCUUUACACAUGCAAGUCGAACGGCAGCACGGGGCAACCUGGUGGCGAGUGGCGAACGGGUGAGUAACAUAUCGGAACAUAUCCGGAAGUGGGGGAUAACGUAGCGAAAGUUACGCUAAUACCGCAUAUGCCCUGAGGAGGAAAGGGGGGGAUCGCAAGACCUCUCGCUUUCGGAGUGGCCGAUAUCGGAUUAGCUAGAUGGUGAGGUAAAGGCUCACCAUGGCGACGAUCCGUAGCGGGUCUGAGAGGACGACCCGCCACACUGGAACUGAGACACGGUCCAGACUCCUACGGGAGGCAGCAGUGGGGAAUUUUGGACAAUGGGCGCAAGCCUGAUCCAGCCAUACCGCGUGAGUGAAGAAGGCCUUCGGGUUGUAAAGCUCUUUCAGCCGGAAAGAAAUCGCACUUUUUAAUACGGAGUGUGGAUGACGGUACCGGAAGAAGAAGCACCGGCUAACUACGUGCCAGCCGCCGCGGU
RNAcentral lists this ribosomal RNA (516 nucleotides) under uncultured bacterium. RNAcentral's name for it is "bacterial SSU rRNA". It matches the Rfam family "Bacterial small subunit ribosomal RNA", at positions 8 to 521 of the family's 1533-position model. The record is from RNAcentral.